GGAAUUCCUUACUUUCAAUCAGGUCAAUUAUGGUGUCUUUGUACGUAGUCCUAUAAAUUAGGACACUUCUAAAACCUUCCUUCUGCACUCAGAAAUUUCGAAAAGUAUAGCAAAAACAGAGCAAAAAAAAGACAGAGAUAUGGAAACUGUGGAAGAUGUGGUGAUCGUUGGUGCUGGAAUAGCAGGGCUGGCCACCGCAGUAGCCUUGAAGAGAGUUGGGGUUCGAUCUUUGAUCUUAGAGAAAUCAGAAACGCUCCGAUCCACUGGUGCAGCCUUAACCCUCACACCAAAUGCUUGGCUUGCUCUUGAUGCUCUUGGCGUUUCUCAU
Molecule: unclassified non-coding RNA, 328 nt
Filed under: Hevea brasiliensis (rubber tree)
Lineage: Eukaryota; Viridiplantae; Streptophyta; Magnoliopsida; Malpighiales; Euphorbiaceae
Source: RNAcentral